RNAcentral lists this long non-coding RNA (235 nucleotides) under Nicotiana benthamiana. RNAcentral's name for it is "long non-coding RNA (NBEN_LNC006505)". The record is from RNAcentral. Lineage: Eukaryota; Viridiplantae; Streptophyta; Magnoliopsida; Solanales; Solanaceae.
CAGAAGGUGGUAUAUUGUAACCGCGCACCCGGCUUUCUCUGCGUGAGUGGUAAGUAUUCUGCACACUUUCAACGUAUAAGGAGUAAGUUGAGAUCUGCACGCCCUGAAGAAAUGGCAGAGUUCCUCCGCCAGAGGGUUGAGCGGGAAACUGUAGCCGAUUCGGAAUGCAUACUCAUAGAAUAUGCAGAACCCGGGCAUGUGCAUGUUGGCAUAAUUUCUCCGGCAGGCGCUAUAU